This 459-nucleotide ribosomal RNA is filed under the name uncultured bacterium. Its description in RNAcentral is "partial 16S ribosomal RNA". It matches the Rfam family "Bacterial small subunit ribosomal RNA", at positions 338 to 795 of the family's 1533-position model. The record is from RNAcentral.
CCUACGGGUGGCAGCAGUGAGGAAUAUUGGUCAAUGGCCGGGAGGCUGAACCAGCCAAGCCGCGUGAAGGAAGAAGGUGCAAAGUAUUGUAAACUUCUUUUGUCAAGGGACAAAAUCGGGCCCGAGAGCCUGACUGAGGGUACUUGAAGAAAAAGCAUCGGCUAACUCCGUGCCAGCAGCCGCGGUAAUACGGAGGAUGCGAGCGUUAUCCGGAUUUAUUGGGUUUAAAGGGUGCGUAGGCGGACUGUUAAGUCAGCGGUAAAAGCCCGGGGCUCAACCCAGGCGAGCCGUUGAAACUGGCGGGCUUGAGUUGGAGUGAGGUAGGCGGAAUGCGCGGUGUAGCGGUGAAAUGCUUAGAUAUCGCGCAGAACUCCGAUUGCGAAGGCAGCGUACCGGCUGCACACUGACGCUGAGGCACGAAAGCGUGGGUAUCGAACAGGAUUAGAUACCCGGGUAGUC